UACGGAAGGCAGCAGUGGGGAAUAUUGCACAAUGGGCGCAAGCCUGAUGCAGCCAUGCCGCGUGUAUGAAGAAGGCCUUCGGGUUGUAAAGUACUUUCAGUCGUGAGGAAGGUGUUAAGGUUAAUAACCUUAGCAAUUGACGUUAGCGACAGAAGAAGCACCGGCUAACUCCGUGCCAGCAGCCGCGGUAAUACGGAGGGUGCGAGCGUUAAUCGGAAUUACUGGGCGUAAAGGGCACGCAGGCGGUUAAUUAAGUUGGAUGUGAAAUCCCCGGGCUUAACCUGGGAAUGGCAUUCAAGCUGGUUAGCUAGAGUCUUGUAGAGGGGGUAGAAUUCCAUGUGUAGCGGUGAAAUGCGUAGAGAUGUGGAGGAAUACCGGUGGCGAAGGCGGCCCCUGGGACAAAGACUGACGCUCAUGUGCGAAAGCGUGGGGAGCGAAACAGGGAUUAGAUACC
This 454-nucleotide ribosomal RNA is filed under the name uncultured bacterium. RNAcentral's name for it is "bacterial SSU rRNA". It matches the Rfam family "Bacterial small subunit ribosomal RNA", at positions 340 to 786 of the family's 1533-position model. The record is from RNAcentral.